UCGAUGAUUUAAAAUAGAUUUCUCGGUCCAGUGCGUGAAAUGACACCCAAGACAGCCAAAAGCGCCUGAAGUGUUGCGUACGGAAUGCGAGAGUGGUUCGGUAUAAGGCCGACCCCUAAUAUUUACCCAUAUCGAGG
Molecule: non-coding RNA, 137 nt
Organism: Polynucleobacter duraquae
Lineage: Bacteria; Pseudomonadati; Pseudomonadota; Betaproteobacteria; Burkholderiales; Burkholderiaceae
Source: Rfam